RNAcentral lists this ribosomal RNA (253 nucleotides) under uncultured bacterium. Its description in RNAcentral is "partial 16S ribosomal RNA". It matches the Rfam family "Bacterial small subunit ribosomal RNA", at positions 524 to 776 of the family's 1533-position model. The record is from RNAcentral.
GACGAACCGUGCGAACGUUAUUCGGAAUCACUGGGCUUAAAGGGCGCGUAGGCGGGCGCGAAAGUCAGGGGUGAAAGCCCACGGCUCAACCGUGGAAGUGCCUCUGAUACUUCGCAUCUCGAGGGAGGUAGGGGCGUGCGGAACUUCCGGUGGAGCGGUGAAAUGCGUAGAUAUCGGAAGGAACGUCGGUGGCGAAAGCGGCGCGCUGGACCUCUUCUGACGCUGAGGCGCGAAAGCCAGGGGAGCGAACGGG